UACAGAGGUCCCAAGCGUUGUUCGGAUUCACUGGGCGUAAAGGGUGCGUAGGUGGCGAGGUAAGUCGGAUGUGAAAGCUCGGAGCUCAACUCCGAAAUGGCAUUGGAAACUACCUUGCUCGAGGGUUGGAGGGGGGACUGGAAUUCUCGGUGUAGCAGUGAAAUGCGUAGAUAUCGAGAGGAACACCUGCGGCGAAGGCGGGUAGCUGGGCCGACACUGACGCUGAGGCGCGAAAGCCAGGGGAGCGAACGGG
RNAcentral lists this ribosomal RNA (253 nucleotides) under uncultured bacterium. Its description in RNAcentral is "partial 16S ribosomal RNA". It matches the Rfam family "Bacterial small subunit ribosomal RNA", at positions 524 to 776 of the family's 1533-position model. The record is from RNAcentral.